This is a non-coding RNA of Melampsora americana, 71 nucleotides long. The record is from the annotation of a GenBank genome assembly. Lineage: Eukaryota; Fungi; Basidiomycota; Pucciniomycetes; Pucciniales; Melampsoraceae.
AGGAUAUUAGUUUAAUGGUAAAACCAAACACUACGGAUGUUUUAAUAAUAGUUCGAAUCUAUUAUGUCCUU